This 1124-nucleotide long non-coding RNA is filed under the name Chrysemys picta bellii (western painted turtle). RNAcentral describes it as "lncRNA (ENSCPBG00000016708.1)". Lineage: Eukaryota; Metazoa; Chordata; Testudines; Emydidae. The record is from RNAcentral.
GGGGGCCCGGCUGCCAGAGCCCGGGGGCAGUGGAAGUCCCGCCCGCCGGGGCCGGGGGAGCCGCCCCAGCCCAGGGCACAGAGCCCGAGCACAGGGGGCUGCUGGGCCCGCAGGCGCCAGAUGCUCUGAACCUCACCGUUGAGCUCCAGGGGUCUGGGCACACCAGUGCGUCCCUUAGGCAGGUAACAUUUGAGGUCUCUGCUGCUAACCAGCUGGGCUCCACUGUGACCUUGCCUGUGGAAAGGGAGCACCUGGCUGACCAGUCCGAGGUGGAGGAUCUAGAGCGGAGCAGGUCUGCUUAUAGAACCCAUGAGCUGGAAAUCCUAGCCAACGAAAGCACCGUUUCUCUAGGCUCCAGCUCCUUUGCAACCUCCACUCCGCUGAUGGGCCCAGCAAAGUUUCACUUUGUGACAGGUAGUCCCCUAGGAGAUGACUUGGAACAGAGGGACCCAAACUCCUCUAGACGUUCAAUGCCAAGAGAGCUAACCUGCCCAAGUCAGGCUGGCUCCAAAUCUGCAGCACCCAAGGAAACCCAGAGCGCCAUCUCCAAAUGCGGGAACCUACCUGAAGAAGAGUCCCGUGACAAGGUCCGUCUCAAACCACCUCGGAAGAGUACUGCGUUGCCUGUCUCUUCCAGAAGCUAUGCCAGUACUGAAGGCCAAGCUGCCAUCAAAUCGCUGCCCCUGGCCUUUACCACCCCAAGAGCAAGUAGGAGUCUGGCCCUCGCUUCCUUUGAAUCUCGGAGAGCUUCUCGGGAGCUGCUGAGAGCAGGCCUGCCUCCAAGGAGCAGAGGCAUUGCCUCCGAGGGGAAAGCAACAAGUCUGUCUCUGGGUAACUCCGGGCCCAGCCUGCAGAAAACGGCUGCCACUGGAAAAACAAGCCAGGGAUCCAACGUGGAGACCCAGCCUGCUGCCCAACUCCCUGCCAGCGGCACUGUGAAGCAGAGUGCUACAAAGCCACCUUGCAGUGAGAAGUGCCCCUCAUCCCUCCAGCCUCCUACCAAAGUCCCAGGACUCAGCAGCAGCAGCAGACCCUUGCUCAUGGGAUCCCGAGUUUCUCUGGGUCCAGGGAUCCUCUGCACGAGCAAAGGGGCUGGAGCUCCGGGAACCAAACUCCCAACUUAC